AUUGAACGCUGGCGGCAGGCCUAACACAUGCAAGUCGAGCGGAUGAAGGGAGCUUGCUCCUGGAUUCAGCGGCGGACGGGUGAGUAAUGCCUAGGAAUCUGCCUGGUAGUGGGGGAUAACGUCCGGAAACGGGCGCUAAUACCGCAUACGUCCUGAGGGAGAAAGUGGGGGAUCUUCGGCCCUCACGCAAUAGGAUGAGCCUAGGUCGGAUUAGCUAGUUGGUGGGGUAAAGGCCUACAAAGGCGACGAUCCGUAACUGGUCUGAGAGGAUGAUCAGUCACACUGGAACUGAGACACGGUCCAGACUCCUACGGGAGGCAGCAGUGGGGAAUAUUGGACAAUGGGCGAAAGCCUGAUCCAGCCAUGCCGCGUGUGUGAAGAAGGUCUUCGGAUUGUAAAGCACUUUAAGUUGGGAGGAAGGGCAGUAAGUUAAUACCUUGCUGUUUUGACGUUACCAACAGAAUAAGCACCGGCUAACUUCGUG
Molecule: ribosomal RNA, 484 nt
Filed under: uncultured bacterium
Lineage: Bacteria
Description: partial 16S ribosomal RNA
Rfam family: Bacterial small subunit ribosomal RNA
Source: RNAcentral